Molecule: ribosomal RNA, 2369 nt
Filed under: Clibanarius corallinus
Lineage: Eukaryota; Metazoa; Arthropoda; Malacostraca; Decapoda; Diogenidae
Description: partial 28S ribosomal RNA
Rfam family: Eukaryotic large subunit ribosomal RNA (bases 1-2091)
Source: RNAcentral
UAAGGGCGACUGAAACGGGAAGAGCCCAGCGCAUAACCUCGAACCCUCACUGAGGCGUCUUCGAGGGGUGUUGCGUUUCAGAGGGUCUAGCACGCCGGCCAUUCUCGCCUAAGUCUCGUUUGAAAGCGGCUCAUUACCCAUGGAGGGUGAUAGGCCCGUAUGGCGACUCACCCGUGAGGGAUACCUUGGCCGGCGGAAAGGACUUUUCUGUAGAGUCAGGUUGCUUGAAACUGCAGCCUAAAGCAGGUGGUAAACUCCAUCUAAGGCUAAAUAUGACCACGAGACCGAUAGCGAACAAGUACCGUGAGGGAAAGUUGAAAAGAACUUUGAAGAGAGAGUUCAAUAGUACGUGAAACCGUUAAGAGUCUAAACGGGUGGAACUCGUAGAUCGAAAUGAGGGGAUUCAGCUCGACGGCGUCGGCUGGGCCGAGAGGUCUUUAUCCCAAGUCGAUUCCCACGUGCCGCGCUCGCCGCGGACGCGGGACCGCCUCUGGUUCCUCACGCCGGCGUCGGAGGGCGUAUUUCUCCUCGAAGUAGAUUACCGCAGCCAUUGCUGGGGACGUCGAAGGCCCGGGCGGAUUGGUACCUCGUCGCUUUCCCCGCCCGUCGGGGCGGGCGGCGGGGGAAACCCCCGGUGGCAUAUCCUAACGGCCCUGCGAUGGUUCGACGAGUGGCGAGGGGGCCGCCGCCUCUUGGUCACACCCUUAAGGUGCGAUCGGGCGGUUCCCUCUGCGGUAAUGGCUAAAUCGGUGGACCACCCGCCCCGUCUUGAAACACGGACCAAGGAGUUCAACAUGUGUGCGAGUCAUUGGGUGCACUAAACCCACAGGCGAAAUGAAAGUGAGAAACUGGGGGGCCCUCGUUCGGGGGCCUCCCUGGGCUGAUCCCUAGGCCGCGCGGCAGCCCCGGGGCCCGUGGGGGGGUCAAGGGAGGGUGAGACCCUUUCCCCUCUCGUACUCGCCCGCGUCUGGUCCUCGGUGAGUUGCGGCGGCCCUUGCCCGAGCGUCGCUCCGGCGGGUGGCUCCGCGGUGGCGACCGCCUCCGCGUCCAUCCGCAGAAGGAGCUGUCGGGGGGGCGCAAGCCCGGGACUUGCCGUAUCGGCCCUCCGCGGAGGGGCGGCGGGGGUGGAAACACGCCCGCCGUUUCCGUUCGGCGGCAGGUGCCGGCAAGUACCUUGAGCAGAUAUGUUGAGACCCGAAAGAUGGUGAACUAUGCCUGGCCAGGAUGAAGCCAGAGGAAACUCUGGUGGAGGUCCGGAGCGAUUCUGACGUGCAAAUCGAUCGUCAGAGCUGGGUAUAGGGGCGAAAGACUAAUCGAACCAUCUAGUAGCUGGUUCCCUCCGAAGUUUCCCUCAGGAUAGCUGGCACUCGUUCAAGAGUUUCAUCCGGUAAAGCGAAUGAUUAGAGGUCUUGGGGACGAAACGUCCUCAACCUAUUCUCAAACUUUAAAUGGGUGAGAGUCUGGGCUUUCUUGGAAGGCGGCGGCGCCGGCGGUCCUCCGCCGCGCGUUCUACGCCGCCGGCUACUGAAGCUCCAGAGUCAAAUCACUGAGUGCCUAGUGGGCCAAUUUUGGUAAGCAGAACUGGCGCUGNGGNAUNANNNAAAUGUCGAGUUAAGGGGCCAAAGNGAAUGCUCNUAGAACCCAANANAGGUGUUGGUUGCUAUANACANCAGGACGGUGGCCNUGGAANUUGGAAUCCGCUAAGGAGUGUGUAACAACUCNCCUGCCGAANCAACUAGCCCUUAAAAUGGUAUGGCGCUCAAGCAUUCUCCCNAUACUCNACCGCCNGCGGCANAACGGGCUUCNCCACGCAAGUCUUUAAGCCCCGGUGAGUAGGAGGGCGCGGUGGUGAGCGUANAAGGUUUCGGCGUGAGCCGGACUGGANCCGCCACUGGUGCANAUCUUGGUGGNANUANCNACUAAUCGAGAGAGACUCCCUUGUAGGCCGAAGUGGANAAGGGUUCCAUGUGAACAUCAAUUGGACAUGGUUCAGUCNCUCCUAANCCCAAGGCUAACGCCUUGUACCACGUCNAGCGGUAACNGCUUCNGACGANCAGGAGCACAAAGCGCUUGCUUCUGGUCCAACNCAGUGCGGCAGCAGCCGUGCGGGGCUGCCUUCUAGCGAGUAGGUCGACGAUUGAAGAAGAAGAAGNNGGUUNNNCNANGGACCUNNUNANUNNGUUGUCNGGNGCANCNNCCGGAGCCAGCAGCNAAGNCGGCUGCUNCNGCCCCGUUUGUUNNUCNUCGNAUCNNGAUGNCGGGGGGCGGNNCCNNNAANNNUANNCCUCNCNUCGUCCUCNUCCUCGUGANAAANGNNAGAAAANGAGGGNNGANACUGCUNCNUUGANNNGANGANCUCCUCNNGAGGC